Molecule: ribosomal RNA, 253 nt
Filed under: uncultured bacterium
Lineage: Bacteria
Description: partial 16S ribosomal RNA
Rfam family: Bacterial small subunit ribosomal RNA
Source: RNAcentral
UACGUAGGCAGCAAGCGUUGUUCGGAGUUAUUGGGCGUAAAGAGCGUGUAGGCGGCCAGGUAGGUCCGUUGUGAAAACUCGAGGCUCAACCUCGAGACGUCGGCGGAAACCCUCUGGCUAGAGUCCGGAAGAGGAGAGUGGAAUUCCUGGUGUAGCGGUGAAAUGCGCAGAUAUCAGGAAGAACACCCGUGGCGAAGGCGGCUCUCUGGGACGGUACUGACGCUGAGACGCGAAAGCGUGGGGAGCAAACAGG